This 831-nucleotide ribosomal RNA is filed under the name uncultured bacterium. Its description in RNAcentral is "bacterial SSU rRNA". It matches the Rfam family "Bacterial small subunit ribosomal RNA", at positions 45 to 871 of the family's 1533-position model. The record is from RNAcentral.
GGCUUAAUACAUGCAAGUCGAACGGCAGCGGGUCCAGCAAUGGAUGCCGGCGAGUGGCGCACGGGUGCGUAACACGUAUGCAACCUACCUUUAACCGGGACAUAACCUCGAGAAAUCGUGGCUAAUAUUCCAUAAUAUCUUUGAAUCGCAUGGUUUGAAGAUCAAAAUUCCGAUGGUUUUAGAUGGGCAUGCGCGACAUUAGCUAGUUGGUGAGGUAAUGGCUCACCAAGGCUACGAUGUUUAGGGGGUCUGAGAGGAUGAUCCCCCACACUGGUACUGAGACACGGACCAGACUCCUACGGGAGGCAGCAGUAAGGAAUAUUGGGCAAUGGGCGCAAGCCUGACCCAGCCAUGCCGCGUGCAGGAUGACAGCCCUACGGGUUGUAAACUGCUUUUAUACGGGAAAAAACCCUCUGACGUGUCAGAGGCUGAUGGUACCGUAAGAAUAAGCAUCGGCUAACUCCGUGCCAGCAGCCGCGGUAAUACGGAGGAUGCAAGCGUUAUCCGGAUUUACUGGGUUUAAAGGGUGCGCAGGCGGAACGACAAGUCAGUGGUGAAAUCUCCUGGCUCAACGCAGGAAACUGCCAUUGAUACUAUCGUUCUUGAGUCCAGUUGAAGUAGGCGGAAUGUAGCAUGUAGCGGUGAAAUGCUUAGAUAUGCUACAGAACACCGAUAGCGAAGGCAAGCUUACUAAACUGAAACUGACGCUCAUGCACGAAAGCGUGGGGAUCAAACAGGAUUAGAUACCCUGGUAGUCCACGCCCUAAACGAUGAUCACUCGUUGUUGGCAACUAUAUCGUCAGCGACUAAGCGUAAGCAUUAAGUGAUCCA